UUGGGAAACCUAACAUAAUCUUGAAUGUAC
RNAcentral lists this non-coding RNA (30 nucleotides) under Mus musculus (house mouse). The record is from RNAcentral. Lineage: Eukaryota; Metazoa; Chordata; Mammalia; Rodentia; Muridae.